GAGUUUGAUCGUGGCUCAGAACGAACGCUGGCGGCAUGCCUAACACAUGCAAGUCGAACGGGAUCCGGACUUCGGUUCGGUGAGAGUGGCGGACGGGUGAGUAACGCGUGGGAACCUGCCCAGUGGUGGGGGAUAACUGCGGGAAACUGCAGCUAAUACCGCAUGAGCCCGAGAGGGGAAAGAUUUAUCGCCGAUGGAGGGGCCCGCGUCCGAUUAGGUAGUUGGUGAGGUAACGGCUCACCAAGCCGACGAUCGGUAGCUGGUCUGAGAGGAUGAUCAGCCACACUGGGACUGAGAUACGGCCCAGACUCCUACGGGAGGCGGCAGUGGGGAAUAUUGGACAAUGGGGGCAACCCUGAUCCAGCAAUGCCGCGUGAGUGAUGAAGGCCUUAGGUUGUAAAGCUCUUUUGGCGGGACGAUGAUGACGGUACCCGCAGAAUAAGCCCCGGCUAACUU
This 456-nucleotide ribosomal RNA is filed under the name uncultured Alphaproteobacteria bacterium. Its description in RNAcentral is "bacterial SSU rRNA". It matches the Rfam family "Bacterial small subunit ribosomal RNA", at positions 9 to 503 of the family's 1533-position model. The record is from RNAcentral. Lineage: Bacteria; Pseudomonadati; Pseudomonadota; Alphaproteobacteria.